CUUGCAGACACCUCCUGCGUGUGAUGUAAGUUCAAUUUACAAAGCAGGAAAUAAAAACUUUGAAAGUAAUUUACAUCUGAUUGAGAAUUAAACCAUUUUGUUUUCAUGCUGGCUGUCAGUCGCAGCCAGGAGAGGUGUGACUUAAGUCAUCUGCAAUAAUUACCCCUAAAUCCUUUUCCUCAGAUGUUAAGGUUAGGACUCAUUAUCUUGCACUUAUCUACAUUAAAUGACAGUUGCCACAACUCUGGCCAUUUUUCUAGUUUACCUAAAUCAUUUGCCAUUUGGC
This is a non-coding RNA of Pelobates cultripes (western spadefoot toad), 286 nucleotides long. Lineage: Eukaryota; Metazoa; Chordata; Amphibia; Anura; Pelobatidae. The record is from the annotation of a GenBank genome assembly.